CAGUAGCCGCGGGAAUACGUAGGGUGCAAGCGUUAAUCGGAAUUACUGGGCGUAAAGCGUGCGCAGGCGGUUAUAUAAGACAGAUGUGAAAUCCCCGGGCUCAACCUGGGAACUGCAUUUGUGACUGUAUAGCUAGAGUACGGCAGAGGGGGAUGGAAUUCCGCGUGUAGCAGUGUAAUGCGUAGAUAUGCGGAGGAACACCGAUGGCGAAGGCAAUCCCCUGGGCCUGUACUGACGCUCAUGCACGAAAGCGUGGGGAGCAAACAGGAUUAGAUACCCCUGUAGUCCCUGUCUCUUAUAC
This 301-nucleotide ribosomal RNA is filed under the name uncultured bacterium. RNAcentral's name for it is "partial 16S ribosomal RNA". It matches the Rfam family "Bacterial small subunit ribosomal RNA", at positions 509 to 807 of the family's 1533-position model. The record is from RNAcentral.